Molecule: RNA transcript, 2034 nt
Organism: Pristis pectinata (smalltooth sawfish)
Lineage: Eukaryota; Metazoa; Chordata; Chondrichthyes; Rhinopristiformes; Pristidae
Gene name: protein LKAAEAR1-like
Exons: 4
Source: RefSeq, a predicted model, not a curated record
UUGAUCAAAUAAAAUGUCUCAGAAGGAAGCCAAAGAUUCCAAUCCUCCUAAUAUUGAAAAUAAAUCCAUAUCAAGUAAAAAGAAAACAGCUCCGAAGCAGCGCAAUGCCAAAGAGACAUCAAAUUCACAAAAACACCUAAAGAGAACAGAUUUCAUUUUGCUAGGAUCAAAUGUACCUCUUGAUUGCCAUCAAGAAUUAGAAAAGAAAAAGCAGCAAAUUCUUAUUGGGCAGCUAAGAGCUGCUGAAUCACAUAACAAGAUACAGGACAUGAGAUUCCGUUACCAAACAAUGAGAGCUGAAGAAAUAAAUCUUUUAAUAUCAUCUCAGCCAACAGCCAGAAGGGCUGUUCGAUUGGAGGCUCUUCUUCCACCAUAUGAGGAACAAAUUAACCUCAAGGAUACUUUGAAUAAACUGCAGGAUUCUCGUGGAAAAGAGAUGCACUAACAGUGAAGCACAAUGGAACCAUUCAGAGGAGCACUUGGAACGCUUUUUUUCUUGCUCUCAGAUUAUUACCAGAAAAAGAGUAGAAGAAAUUAUGAGUGAUGAAGCAGGGCUAACAAUAAAUCGAAACCUAUGAAAGGCAAUAUAUCAUAACGUUUGCCCCAGUUCAAGAACAUAUGGGAACAUCAUUUGUAACAUAUUUGCUCUGAAUAAAACUUUUUGAAGCUCAACAGUGACUUGAUCAUUUCUAUAUAAGGAAGAAAGGUGUGCAAAAAUACGUUAAUAUAUAAUUAUCAACAGAGUUCAAAAUCAGUAGAAAUUCAUUGUUUUGUCCUUUUAUUUGAAUUUAGUUGAUAUCUUUUAAACAUGCACUUUUAAGGUUGACCAAUAUCUGCAUAACACAACCAAACCUUUCCAAACUUUGGAAGAACUGGAGAAAUGAUCAUUGACCUGACAGUUAAUUUGCUUUCAUUUCAACACCAGCUCUUCUUGCUUCCCAUCAAAAAUUUGCAUAAAAUGUAAUUUAAUAUUCUCACAUUUUGGAUCCAAUUCAAAGAUUUACAGAAGUUGGAAAAUAUGUUUUAAUUUUUAAUUCUGAAUUUUAAUCCCUCUACUUUAAAAAUGUGUUAUUUCUUUCAGUAUCAAAAUGAAUCUAAUGGAAAAUAGAGAUUAUAAUUGAAAUGGUACAUGUUCAUAACUCGAUUUUGUACAUGGAUAUGAAAUUUGUCUGUUUAUUGUUUAAGUAAAUGAGAUUAGCAACAUUAACAAAAUAUGAGACAAAUUUCAUACAGAUUUGUUACUAAUAAUGCAGUUUAAUUGCAAAGCAUGAAAACCAAGAUUUAUUUCAUAAAUCGGAGACAGGAGAGACUGCAGAUGCUGGAAUUUGGAGCAACAAACAAGAUGCUGGAGGAACUCAGCGAGGUAGACCUGAGUUCCUCCAACAUAUUGUUCGUUAUUUUAUUAUUCGCCUGGCUGCCAGUGUAUGCUUUCAAGUACUGAAUCUCAGUUGCAGUAGAGAAGUAACAAUAUGUUUUAGGGGGAAAAAGGCAGAUAAUUGCAAUGACUCACAUCCAAACCAAUGCAGUACUUGCUUAAUACUACCACCUGACAAUAGAUCUUCCCUUCUCAGUGGUGAAAUGGUCUGUGUCAUUAUAUUAUAGCUUCUUUACCAGACAAGUUGUAAGGACACUAAUCGAAAUUCUAAAUGAUAGAAUUAGUAAAGAAUAACAGACCUGACUUGUCUCCAGCAAAGUCAAUUGCAGGGAAGUAGCCUGAAUCUUUAACAUCCUCAUAAGAACAGCAAGAACAAGCAUACCUCAAUUUUUGCUUCUGUCAGUAGCAUCUCAUAGUGCUCUUGCCCAUUCCAACACCACCAGCAGCAACAAUCUCAUUUUCAAAAGUUUUCUCCCCUUAAUCCAUUUAUCAUUCAAGUGAUGAUAAUUCAAUAUUGCUUGGUUAUUCAAUUCAAACACUCAGUACAAUAUGAAAUGGAAGAUUGUAAUAAGUUGUUUUUUUUUAACAUAACUGGCCUGAGAUUUCUGCAAAAUAUUACCCAAGUAUAACUUUAUGAUUUGUUUCUGUACUAUUAUGAA